GUAGCAAUACGGGAGUGGCAGACGGGUGAGUAACGCGUGGGAACAUACCCUCCGGUUCGGAAUAGCUCAGGGAAACUUGGAUUAAUACCGGAUACGGCCGUGAGGCGAAAGAUUUAUCGCCGGAGGAUUGGCCCGCGUUCGAUUAGCUUGUUGGUGAGGUAACGGCUCACCAAGGCGAUGAUCGAUAGCUGGUCUGAGAGGAUGAUCAGCCACAUUGGGACUGAGACACGGCCCAAACUCCUACGGGAGGCAGCAGUGGGGAAUAUUGGACAAUGGGCGCAAGCCUGAUCCAGCCAUGCCGCGUGAGUGAUGAAGGCCUUAGGG
RNAcentral lists this ribosomal RNA (324 nucleotides) under uncultured bacterium. RNAcentral's name for it is "bacterial SSU rRNA". It matches the Rfam family "Bacterial small subunit ribosomal RNA", at positions 72 to 422 of the family's 1533-position model. The record is from RNAcentral.